GGAAACGUGGCCGAGAGGCUGAAGGCACUUCCCUGCUAAGGAAGCAUGUGGGCUUAAACCUGCAUCGAGGGUUCGAAUCCCUCCGUUUCCG
This 91-nucleotide transfer RNA is filed under the name Basilea psittacipulmonis DSM 24701. It matches the Rfam family "tRNA". Rfam says of the family: Transfer RNA (tRNA) molecules are approximately 80 nucleotides in length. The record is from Rfam by way of RNAcentral. Lineage: Bacteria; Pseudomonadati; Pseudomonadota; Betaproteobacteria; Burkholderiales; Alcaligenaceae.